GACAGGGAGAGGGAGGCAGAUCCCAUGAAAUGAGGCUGGACAGGAAGUCCUCCCAACGAGGUUAUCAGGCAAAUCAAGAAGAGUGGGAAGUGCCCGAAGACAGGAGGCUGCCUGCCAGCGACUCCACGGGCUCAGGCUGUUUGUAGUUCAUGUGCAUAAUUUUUAAAGAUAGACAUAAGACAUACCCCUGAAGAUGAGUACAAGAGAGAAAGACAGGGCUCUGAAAAUACUGCCAUAGGCUCAAGUUCCAAAGUGCUGGAGUUACAAAAGUAUAAAGGACAACGCAAAGGACUUUUUAGCCAAAGAAGAACCAGAAAGGAUUGCAGCGGCUACAUCUAGAAUCAACGGGUGGAAGUUAUAUGGCAUAAAUCUCAGAUCAGUGAGGUUCUGAGCACUGAUUUCAUCAAGCCGAUGGAGGCAACAACAUAUUCCUUAGGGAAAAUUAAGAUGCACAGUAUGCUUCAAGAUGAUGGCCAAGAACAACCAACUCAACGAGCCUUCAGGAAUUCAUGAUUUGAAUAUCAUGUUCAAGCUACAGACAUCAGCAAACUCGAGAAAAGAAGGUUUGCUCUGGGAGAUUCUACAUGUGACCUGUUUAUAUGUAAUUAUAUUAUCUAUUACUCAAGUAUUUGUCUUGUGCUGUCUAAAUUAUAAGCUUCUCAACUGUUUGCCUUGAGUGAGAUGUGCACGCUAAAGCCUCUCAAUAAAUAUUAAUUGAAUGAAUAAUUGAAAAAAACC
Molecule: long non-coding RNA, 738 nt
Filed under: Homo sapiens (human)
Lineage: Eukaryota; Metazoa; Chordata; Mammalia; Primates; Hominidae
Description: HSALNT0206739
Source: RNAcentral